This 493-nucleotide ribosomal RNA is filed under the name uncultured bacterium. RNAcentral describes it as "partial 16S ribosomal RNA". It matches the Rfam family "Bacterial small subunit ribosomal RNA", at positions 28 to 507 of the family's 1533-position model. The record is from RNAcentral.
GACGAACGCUGGCGGCGUGCUUAACACAUGCAAGUCGAACGGUGAAGCACCUUCCUUUUGGUGGGUGUGGAUGAGUGGCGAACGGGUGAGUAACACGUGAGUAACCUGCCCCCUUCUUCUGGAUAACCGCAUGAAAGUGUGGCUAAUACGGGAUAUUCUGGGUCUGUCGCAUGGCGGGCCUGGGAAAGAUAUUGUUUCGGUGGGGGAUGGGCUCGCGGUCUAUCAGCUUGUUGGUGGGGUGAUGGCCUACCAAGGCGGUGACGGGUAGCCGGCCUGAGAGGGUGGACGGUCACACUGGGACUGAGACACGGCCCAGACUCCUACGGGAGGCAGCAGUGGGGAUUAUUGCACAAUGGGCGCAAGCCUGAUGCAGCGACGCCGCGUGAGGGAUGGAGGCCUUCGGGUUGUAAACCUCUUUCGCCAGUGAAGCAGGCCUGUCCCUUUUGUGGGUGGGUUGACGGUAGCUGGAUAAGAAGCGCCGGCUAACUACGUG